Molecule: long non-coding RNA, 782 nt
Organism: Rhinichthys klamathensis goyatoka
Lineage: Eukaryota; Metazoa; Chordata; Actinopteri; Cypriniformes; Leuciscidae
Exons: 2
Source: RefSeq, a predicted model, not a curated record
UGUACUAAAUGUGUUAAACUUAUGUUUUAGAACAAAUUGAUUUGUUUGUGAAGGAAAGACUACAUCAUUUCACGAUGCUGCCAUAAAUCGGCAUGAGAAGGCAGCUGUUAUACAGUUGGGCCAGGCCAUGAAUAAUAAUUUGUCAGACCUGAGGUUCCAGAAUAAGAGGGUAUGCACUUAAGAGCUGUGUGUUCGACUGUACAAAUAGAUUUAACAAGAACUAUCUUUUUACAGACUGCCAAAAGUUACAGAAAAGAGAAGCAAAUAGAUUGCUGCAAUUCGCAGAAACGGCUGGGGAUCCAGGCAGCGGAGUGAAUGGGUUAAAAUUAUGUUGAAUUUAGGGGUAAAAUCAUAUCCUGGGUCAUAUAUUGUAUUGGCAACUCAUCAAUUAAAUAUUUACCAUCUAAUAUUCUGGAUAACUGUAAAGUUCUUGCCAGUUUUUAUGAACCCCAUUCCUGGGCAUAUGUCAAUGUCCAUUGACCACAGUCUUUUUGGUAAGUAGCCUAUGUAUAAGUGUCGAGUCCAACUGCAACAAUUUUUGUUGCUUGUUUUGAUCCUGUUUUUGCAAUUUCCCUUAUUAAAGCCAGUAAUGCUUAAGGAUGUUUUGCCCCUCCGACUGAGGGGACGUGUCCCAGCAGGAAAGUAGCCUGAGAAAGUCUAUAUUUUAUUUAUUUAUUAUUUUAUUUUUUGGUAUACUUAUAAUAAUUUUGUUAUUGUGCAGAUAAUUUUAUGUAUGCUGUGUACUUUUACUUUUUGUUAACAUAAAUAAAAAUUCCACAUUA